UUGCCUCCAAAAGCAAAAAAAGAAACGUGGGUUUAGUUUUCAGAAAACUCUACCUUAGGUUUAGUUUUCUGAAAAUCCAUCUCUAAACUUUGCUCUUCCUGACCCCGCAGCCAAUUCAUCUCUAAAUUUAUCAGACAAUUUGAUCUCAGCCGCGGUAUUCAAGUUCAAGUUUAAGUCUCAGCUGCGGUGUCAUUGAAUUCGUGCUUCCAAUCUCGUGGUCUUAAUCGUUGUGUCGAUCGUGCUCUUGGUCGGACUCUAUCGAAUUCCCCCUUUUAAUUUCAGAAGCAAUCUGGUUUGAAAUUGUGGGUUGGGUGUGGGCUCUGCCAAGGUGACCUGGUGACUAUUUAAUUUUCACCUCACCUAUCGAGUGUAUGCUGUUGUUAGUUAGUGAAAUACAGUUAAAUCAUGAUGUCUCAUUCAUGGCUUACUGAUGAAAAAAUCUGAUAUGUAUGUAUACUACAUCUAUUAACCAUGUUGUUCUACUCUCCCACCCUUUUUUUUCC
This is a long non-coding RNA of Spinacia oleracea (spinach), 503 nucleotides long. RefSeq lists it as uncharacterized. The record is from RefSeq and is a predicted model, not a curated record. The transcript has 3 exons. NCBI's taxonomy places the organism in Eukaryota, Viridiplantae, Streptophyta, Magnoliopsida, Caryophyllales, Amaranthaceae.